UACGUAGGGUGCGAGCGUUAAUCGGAAUUACUGGGCGUAAAGCGUGCGUAGGUGGUUUCUUAAGUCUGCUGUGAAAGCCCUGGGCUCAACCUGGGAAUGGCGGUGGAUACUGAGGAGCUAGAGUGCGGUAGAGGAGGGUGGAAUUCCCGGUGUAGCGGUGAAAUGCGUAGAGAUCGGGAGGAACAUCAGUGGCGAAGGCGGCCCUCUGGACCAGCACUGACGUUGAGGUACGAAAGCGUGGGGAGCAAACAGG
RNAcentral lists this ribosomal RNA (253 nucleotides) under uncultured bacterium. RNAcentral describes it as "partial 16S ribosomal RNA". It matches the Rfam family "Bacterial small subunit ribosomal RNA", at positions 524 to 776 of the family's 1533-position model. The record is from RNAcentral.